Nicotiana attenuata is the source of this 195-nucleotide microRNA precursor. It matches the Rfam family "MIR159 microRNA precursor family". The record is from Rfam. Lineage: Eukaryota; Viridiplantae; Streptophyta; Magnoliopsida; Solanales; Solanaceae.
UAUGUAGCUAAGGAGCUCCUUUCAGGCCAAGACCGAGGGUCGAGUAGCGGCAAGAGCUGUCAUGUCAUGCAUAUUGGUUAAGCUUAAAUUACUAGCAAAAAUGUUUAAGAAUAACCAUUUGCAUGACGGGAGAGCAACUACUUUCGCUAACUUGACCCACUUAUUGGACUGAAGGGAGCUCCUCUUUAUUUAUCA